This 117-nucleotide ribosomal RNA is filed under the name Oscillospiraceae bacterium. The record is from RNAcentral. Lineage: Bacteria; Bacillati; Bacillota; Clostridia; Eubacteriales; Oscillospiraceae.
GUUGGUGUCUAUGACGCUGAGGGUCCACCCGUUCCCAUUCCGAACACGGCAGUUAAGCUCAGCAGUGCCUACGAUACUUGGACGGCGACGUCCCGGGAAAAUUGGUCGACGCCAACA